RNAcentral lists this ribosomal RNA (500 nucleotides) under uncultured bacterium. RNAcentral's name for it is "partial 16S ribosomal RNA". It matches the Rfam family "Bacterial small subunit ribosomal RNA", at positions 28 to 507 of the family's 1533-position model. The record is from RNAcentral.
GACGAACGCUGGCGGCGUGCCUAAUACAUGCAAGUCGAGCGGACUGAUUAAGAGCUUGCUCUUAUGACGUUAGCGGCGGACGGGUGAGUAACACGUGGGCAACCUGCCCUGUAGAUCGGGAUAACACCGAGAAAUCGGUGCUAAUACCGGGUAAUAUCUGAGAUCACAUGAUCUUAGGUUAAAAGAUGGCUCCGGCUAUCACUACAGGAUGGGCCCGCGGCGCAUUAGCUAGUUGGUAAGGUAAUGGCUUACCAAGGCGACGAUGCGUAGCCGACCUGAGAGGGUGAUCGGCCACACUGGGACUGAGACACGGCCCAGACUCCUACGGGAGGCAGCAGUAGGGAAUCUUCCGCAAUGGACGAAAGUCUGACGGAGCAACGCCGCGUGAGUGAUGAAGGGUUUCGGCGCGUAAAGCGCUGUUGUUAGGGAAGAAACAGUACCGAACGAACUAGGUCGGUACCUUGACGGUACCUAACCAGAAAGCCACGGCUAACUACGUG